Molecule: ribosomal RNA, 61 nt
Filed under: uncultured fungus
Lineage: Eukaryota; Fungi
Description: partial 18S ribosomal RNA
Rfam family: Eukaryotic small subunit ribosomal RNA
Source: RNAcentral
AUUUAGAGGGAAGUAAAAGUCGUAACAAGGUUUCCGUAGGUGACCUGCGGAAGGAUCAUUA